This 433-nucleotide ribosomal RNA is filed under the name uncultured bacterium. RNAcentral describes it as "partial 16S ribosomal RNA". It matches the Rfam family "Bacterial small subunit ribosomal RNA", at positions 29 to 507 of the family's 1533-position model. The record is from RNAcentral.
AACGAACGCUGGCGGCAUGCCUAACACAUGCAAGUCGAACGAGCCCUUCGGGACUAGUGGCGUACGGGUGUGUAACGCGUGGGAACCUGCCCUUAGGUUCGGAAUAACUAUCCGAAAGGGGUGCUAAUACCGAAUAAUGUCUUCGGACCAAAGAUUUAUCGCCUUUGGAUGGGCCCGCGUUGGAUUAGCUAGUUGGUAGGGUAAUAGCUUACCAAGGCGACGAUCAAUAGCUUGUCUGAGAGGAUGAUCAGCCACACUGGGACUGAGACACGGCCCAGACUCCUACGGGAGGCAGCAGUGGGGAAUAUUGCACAAUGGGCGAAAGCCUGAUGCAGCAAUGCCGCGUGAGUGAUGAAGGUCUUAGGGUUGUAAAGCUCUUUUACCCGGGAUGAUAAUGACGGUACCGGGAGAGUAAGCCCCGGCUAACUCCGUG